UACGUAGGGGGCAAGCGUUGUCCGGAAUCAUUGGGCGUAAAGGGCUCGUAGGCGGUCUGUUGCGUCGGGAGUGAAAACUCAGGGCUUAACCCUGAGCCUGCUUCCGAUACGGGCAGACUAGAGGUAUGCAGGGGAGAACGGAAUUCCUGGUGUAGCGGUGAAAUGCGCAGAUAUCAGGAGGAACACCGGUGGCGAAGGCGGUUCUCUGGGCAUUACCUGACGCUGAGGAGCGAAAGUGUGGGGAGCGAACAGG
Molecule: ribosomal RNA, 253 nt
Filed under: uncultured bacterium
Lineage: Bacteria
Description: partial 16S ribosomal RNA
Rfam family: Bacterial small subunit ribosomal RNA
Source: RNAcentral